RNAcentral lists this transfer RNA (75 nucleotides) under Dactylellina haptotyla CBS 200.50. It matches the Rfam family "tRNA". Rfam says of the family: Transfer RNA (tRNA) molecules are approximately 80 nucleotides in length. Their secondary structure includes four short double-helical elements and three loops (D, anti-codon, and T loops). Lineage: Eukaryota; Fungi; Ascomycota; Orbiliomycetes; Orbiliales; Orbiliaceae. The record is from Rfam by way of RNAcentral.
GACCUGUUGGUGUACUCGGUUUAACAUAUCCGCCUAUUAUGCGGAAGUAGCAUGGUUCGAAUCCAUGUCGGUCCA